UCAAGCAAAGCCCAAAAACAAACGACCUCCAGUUCGGAUUGCAGCCUGCAACUCGGCUGCAUGAAGCCGGAAUCGCUAGUAAUCGCGGAUCAGAAUGCCGCGGUGAAUACGUUCCCGGGUCUUGUGCACACCGCCCGUCACACCAUGGGAGUCGGAAAUGCCCGAAGUCGGUGACCUAACGAAAGAAGGAGCCGCCGAAGGCAGGUCCGGUAACUGGGGUGAAGUCGUAACAAGGUACC
RNAcentral lists this ribosomal RNA (239 nucleotides) under uncultured bacterium. RNAcentral describes it as "partial 16S ribosomal RNA". It matches the Rfam family "Bacterial small subunit ribosomal RNA", at positions 1263 to 1500 of the family's 1533-position model. The record is from RNAcentral.